RNAcentral lists this ribosomal RNA (581 nucleotides) under uncultured bacterium. Its description in RNAcentral is "bacterial SSU rRNA". It matches the Rfam family "Bacterial small subunit ribosomal RNA", at positions 28 to 586 of the family's 1533-position model. The record is from RNAcentral.
AUUGAACGCUGGCGGCAGGCUUAACACAUGCAAGUCGAGCGGAAACGGCAUAGGCAAUCCCUUCGGGGUGCGCUUAUGGACGUCGAGCGGCGGACGGGUGAGUAAUGCCUGGGAAUCUGCCUGGUAGUGGGGGAUAACUUGCCGAAAGGUAAGCUAAUACCGCGUACGCCCUACGGGGGAAAGCAGGGGAUCUUCGGACCUUGCGCUAUCAGAUGAGCCCAGGCCGGAUUAGCUAGUUGGUAGGGUAAAGGCCUACCAAGGCGACGAUCCGUAGCUGGUCUGAGAGGAUGAUCAGCCACACCGGGACUGAGACACGGCCCGGACUCCUACGGGAGGCAGCAGUGGGGAAUAUUGGACAAUGGGGGGAACCUGAUCCAGCCAUGCCGCGUGUGUGAAGAAAGUCUUCGGAUUGUAAAGCACUUUAAGUUGGGAGGAAGAGCUCCGGGCUAAUACCCUGCGAGUUUUGACGUUUACCAACAGAAUAAGCACCGGCUAACUUCGUGCCAGCAGCCGCGGUAAUACCAAAGGUGCGAGCGUUAAUCGGAAUUACUGGGCGUAAGCGCGCGUAAGUGGGUUGUUAA